UCCUCCAAGGCUAAAUACUCCUGACUGACCGAUAGUGAACCAGUACCGUGAGGGAAAGGCGAAAAGAACCCCGGCGAGGGGAGUGAAAAAGAACCUGAAACCGUGUACGUACAAGCAGUGGGAGCACCCUUUGGGGUGUGACUGCGUACCUUUUGUAUAAUGGGUCAGCGACUUAUAUUCUGUAGCAAGGUUAACCGUAUAGGGGAGCCGGAGGGAAACCGAGUCUUAACCGGGCGUUAAGUUGCAGGGUAUAGACCCGAAACCCGGUGAUCUAGCCAUGGGCAGGUUGAAGGUUGGGUAACACUAACUGGAGGACCGAACCGACUAAUGUUGAAAAAUUAGCGGAUGACCUGUGGCUGGGGGUGAAAGGCCAAUCAAACCGGGAGAUAGCUGGUUCUCCCCGAAAGCUAUUUAGGUAGCGCCUCGUGAA
RNAcentral lists this ribosomal RNA (430 nucleotides) under Salmonella enterica subsp. enterica serovar Montevideo. RNAcentral's name for it is "partial 23S ribosomal RNA". It matches the Rfam family "Bacterial large subunit ribosomal RNA", at positions 456 to 888 of the family's 2925-position model. Lineage: Bacteria; Pseudomonadati; Pseudomonadota; Gammaproteobacteria; Enterobacterales; Enterobacteriaceae. The record is from RNAcentral.